CAGCAGUGGGGAAUAUUGCACAAUGGGGGAAACCCUGAUGCAGCCAUGCCGCGUGUGUGAAGAAGGCCUUCGGGUUGUAAAGCACUUUCAGUAGGGAGGAAGGUAGUGUAGUUAACACCUGCACUAUUUGACGUUACCUACAGAAGAAGCACCGGCUAACUCCGUGCCAGCAGCCGCGGUAAUACGGAGGGUGCGAGCGUUAAUCGGAAUUACUGGGCGUAAAGCGCAUGCGGGCGGCCUGUUAAGUCAGAUGUGAAAGCCCGGGGCUUAACCUCGGAAUUGCAUUUGAAACUGGCAGGCUAGAGUCUUGUAGAGGGGGUAGAAUUUCAGGUGUAGCGGUGAAAUGCGUAGAGAUCUGAAGGAAUACCAGUGGCGAAGGCGGCCCCCUGGACAAAGACUGACGCUCAGAUGCGAAAGCGUGGGGAGCAAACAGGAUUAGAUACCCCUGGUAG
RNAcentral lists this ribosomal RNA (452 nucleotides) under uncultured bacterium. Its description in RNAcentral is "bacterial SSU rRNA". It matches the Rfam family "Bacterial small subunit ribosomal RNA", at positions 349 to 793 of the family's 1533-position model. The record is from RNAcentral.